UGUGUGUGUGUGUGUGUGUGUGUGUGUGUGUGUGUGUGUGUGUGAAAUCUGUUGUAAUUAUUUUACAUUUUUCUCUGCAUAGCUGUCUCCUUCACCUAUAUUAGUUUAUCUGUCUUUCUGGUCACAACAGAAAUUCAAGACGUUUGGGUCCUCAGCUCAACUGACCAAGACCUUUGCUCAUUGAAGGCAUGAAGUAAUUUGUGAUGCCCCCACGAUUGCAGUUUUUAAAUCCAGAUGGCUUGCUCUUUUUAACAUGUGCGAGAGCUGGAUGGUCUUUCAACAACACUGCUCCGGGUCUUCAGCAAGAAAGGUGCUUCUCAUGCAAGGAAGAUACAGAGGAUCCUGGUGCCCAUGACUCAGACUGACAACAUUGAUGUGAAGAGGGAGUGCAUGCUGAGGAGCUGACGGUCUACCUGAAUGAAGAGCCAGACAAAGUGGAUGUUGAUCUGGACGGUCCAGCUGAAACGUAUUGUCUUCGUGUGCGUGUGAUCGGCAGAG
Long non-coding RNA from Engraulis encrasicolus (European anchovy), 498 nucleotides. RefSeq lists it as uncharacterized. The transcript is spliced from 4 exons. The record is from RefSeq and is a predicted model, not a curated record. NCBI's taxonomy places the organism in Eukaryota, Metazoa, Chordata, Actinopteri, Clupeiformes, Engraulidae.